This 429-nucleotide ribosomal RNA is filed under the name Fusobacteriota bacterium. RNAcentral's name for it is "Fusobacteria bacterium partial 16S ribosomal RNA". It matches the Rfam family "Bacterial small subunit ribosomal RNA", at positions 355 to 776 of the family's 1533-position model. The record is from RNAcentral. Lineage: Bacteria; Fusobacteriati; Fusobacteriota.
UGGGGAAUAUUGCGCAAUGGGCGAAAGCCUGACGCAGCGACGCCGCGUGAGGGAUGAAGGUUUUCGGAUCGUAAACCUCUGUCAGAAGGGAAGAAACCGCACUGUGCUAAUCAGCAGUGCCUUGACGGUACCUUCAAAGGAAGCACCGGCUAACUCCGUGCCAGCAGCCGCGGUAAUACGGAGGGUGCAAGCGUUAAUCGGAAUUACUGGGCGUAAAGCGCACGUAGGCUGCUUUGUAAGUCAGGGGUGAAAUCCCACGGCUCAACCGUGGAACUGCCUCUGAUACUGCUUAGCUUGAAUCCGGGAGAGGGUGGCGGAAUUCCAGGUGUAGGAGUGAAAUCCGUAGAUAUCUGGAGGAACAUCAGUGGCGAAGGCGGCCACCUGGACCGGUAUUGACGCUGAGGUGCGAAAGCGUGGGGAGCAAACAGG